Non-coding RNA from Podarcis lilfordi (Lilford's wall lizard), 316 nucleotides. The record is from the annotation of a GenBank genome assembly. Lineage: Eukaryota; Metazoa; Chordata; Lepidosauria; Squamata; Lacertidae.
CUUUUAGAAGACAUCUGAAGGCAGCCCUGUACAGAGGAGAAGUUGUUGUUGUUGUUUGUUGUUGUUGUUGAUAUUUUGCUGGAAGCCACCCAGAGUGGCUGGGGCAACCCAAUCCAAUGGGUGGCAUAUAAAUAAUAAAAUGAUGAUGUGCUUUGUCGGACAUAACCUCCACAAUCAGGGCUGGCCCAACACACUUUGCUGCCUGAGGCAAAGAACAAGAAUCAUAGAAUCAUAGAGUUGGAAGAGACCACAAGGGCCAUUGAGUCCAACCCCCUGCCAAGCAGGAAACACCAUCAGAGCACUCCUGACAUAUGGU